GACAAGGGGGUGUGAUGGGGAGGAUCAGCAUCAGGGCGGAGAGGGAGAGAGAAUAUCAGAUGUCAACAAAUCUGCUGUCCUUGCGGCUCGUUUAGAAAGGAGGAGGGUCGAAGGUGGUUCCAUUCCAUCCCCCUCCCUUCUUGCCCCCAGAGGAGAGAGGAGAGAGGAGAGAGAGGGAGGCCAGGCCAAACGACGCCAAUCCAAAACCCCCAAAAGGAGCAAGGAGAGAGAGAGAGAGAGUGGGGAGUGAGCAGAGAGAGAACAAACCAAGAUACUCCUACAUCCGCAGACAGUGGUUCGUUCGUCCGGGGACGAGGACGAGAACCCACCACUUUCUCUCCCUCUUCCUCGCCCUUCCUUCUCUCCCUGGCCCGGCCCCAGCAAAUCCGGUUCCAGCCUCCCCCCGACCGGACCCGUCCCGGAUACGUCGGAGCUCCGAGCGUCCUCCGCCCCGAUCGCCCCCCUGCCGCCGCCACAGAGAUUUGCCUCUUUCUUUUCGUUCGUUCUAGGAUAUAUAGAUAGAUAAAUAAAUAUCCUGCCUUGGUUGGGUUGGGCGGCUUCUUGGGCGGCGCGGGGUUUCUUGGGGCAUGGCCGUGGCGGCGGUGCCGGACAGGACGCUCGCCCGCCGAAUGCUGCGGGUCGUCAGGCUCAACCCGCUGCAGCGCAGCGCCAAGAAUCCCUGAGGUCUGUGUGACGUUUCAGUUGGAUUGUACGCGAGAAGUCAAUGAUUGCAUCUGCUGGCCAUAGGUUUCUAUUUUCCACGUUUGGUAAAGAUGAUGAUAUAUCUCUUAAAAGAACUAGUCCUUAGGAUUUUAUUAAGUAGGUUGAACUAUCGCCGGUUGACUCGUCUUCUCUCCUUUAGUUAUUUCCUGCCCGAUGAAUUUAGAAACAAACAGGUGAGGUGCAUAUUCUAUGCCAUUAUGGAAUACAGUAUAUAUUUAAAAGUUGGGCCUUUGGUGUUGUUUACUCUGUUGCUGUCUAGGUUUGUUUGAUUAUUGUAGGGGUAGUGAGUUUUUGUCAUGCAUUUUAUCCAUGAUACAUGUAGCAUCUUGUUUCCCAGAUCCUUUCUUAUUACUCACUGCAGUAUUUAUUGGCAGGUUAUUUCUCUUUAAGUGCCAUUCAGAUUGGGAGGUAGUAUUGAUUCACCUGAGCAAGUCAAGCUGUCCAGUUAGCUCAAAGCAUUAAAGAUUGGAAUUUCACACGUGCAUUGCAUUCACACUGUGAUUUCCCUUUGGUGUCCUGUGAUGUGAUGAUCAGUGCUGGUUGCCGUCCGGGUCAAGGGGAAUUUUAGCAUGAUUGCUACAUGCUCAUUGUUUUGGGGAUCUGCACAUGGACUCAAAUGGUUGGCGCUCUCCAUACUAUGAGGAUAGAACAUCAAAUGGACAGUUGUACAAUGGCUUCAUGACAAAGCAGGCAGAUGGUUAUUCAGAAUACGACAACGAAACGCUAAAGCGCACAAUGCUUUCACAUGAAGCUAUGUUUAGACAGCAGGUUUAUGAACUGCACCGGGUUUACAAAAUACAGAGAGACCUGAUGAAGCAUUAUGAAAACAAAGAUGCAUAUGCAUACCCAGAACUGGCAGAUGCAUCACAGACAAAUUCGUCAUCACAAGUUCAACCAAAUGGCUCAAAGAUGAUAUGGCAGAUGCCUCUGGUGGCCAAAACAUACGGAGAGGCUACUGUUGCAGUGCACACUGAUACAAACCACUCCUUGAAGUUCCUUAGUGAUGGCAGUGUCCUGCCCUCUCCAAAUGGAUUCCCCUCGAAUGGUGUUGCUUUAAAUACCAAGCAAGGCAUUAUUGACCUUGAGCUUCCAGCUGAUCAUUAUAUAGAUGAUGACAACACAUCAGAUAAUAAGCCUAUAGAUUUCCUUGGUGUAGAUUCGGGUACAAAACCUCCGAAUGGUGCAGAAGGCUUGGGGAGGUUCAAUGAUAAUAGCUCAACCUCUGGUUUGCUGACUACCAAUAAACCGGGAGGCUGCCAUGUCGCUGACCUGAAUGAGCCAAUUACUGGGAUGCAUAUGGGUGGAACAAACGGGUCAGUAUCCAGAGGUCUCCCGUAUACCUUGGAGAACUCUUGGCGCCAAUCUGCAGUGAGAUCAAGCACAGCUAACUUUGGUUUCAAUAAAGAAUACUCCAAAGAGAAGCAUACUGACGAAGGAACAAGCUCAAAUUUCCUUGAUGCAAGUGCCAAACUAAGACAGGAGGAGAAACCAUUGAUUGAUAAAGGAAAACAAGUCAGCAACCAAUCUUUUUUUACACCCAGAUACAGCAAUGCUGAUCUGCAAAAAUCCUUCAAAGUUGCUGAUGGGAGAUCUGCAACCAAUGAGAUUAUUUACCAUGGUCAAAACAGUUCAGUUGGAUGGUUUUCAAAAGGUCCUAUGGGAGCAUCUCCCAUCAAUAAUUUUGCUAGACUUGACCAUCCACAUCAUUCAAGUAUUGGUACACUUGUUGCUCCAAUCUCCAUUCCUCACAUAGACCAUCCUUCCGUCGCCUCUCCUAUAGGUUCUUGCACAGUGGACCCAAGGAGCAGUGUUAUCAACAAUGCUUUCCAGCGAGUUCCAAGUUUCAAUGGAUCUUCAACUGUUAAUUCAUACAAGAGUCCUAGUGCUGUGACCCAAAGCAUUGGACCUUCGAUUCAUAAGCUGAAAAGAUUUGAUAAUUUGGAUGGUAGUUACUUUGGCUUUCCACCUGAUCCAUUUUCCGCAUCACGAUCCAGACAACAGGUUGCAAUUUCGAGCGAGUUGGAGCAAAGGAACUGCCUGAUGUUUGAACAUUCAGCAGCACGGCAGUCUCAUGGGUAUCCUCAGUCCACAAACGGCAAGGGCAUAAAGAACUUUAAUUUGAAUGAAGCACUGUCAGAUGGUCUGGAAGAGCUUGUAGAACGGGGUCGGAGAUCUGUUGGUAGUUUGCAGCAUAUUAAAGGCGAGGGAUCAGUAUUUGGGAUCUCUUGGCUAAAAAAUAAAGCCACUUGUGCUGACCCAACAGGGCUGGAAAAGCAAAGAAAGAUGCUUGGCCAUUCCAACGGGACUGCAGCAGACACGAAAAUCAACAAUAACUUGACAGGAAUAACACCGAUUGUUUGCAAUUUGUCAGAUUCUGCCUCGACGUCCCUAGGUUGCAGAAUUAAGAUAGAUGAUGCUUCUGAAGGCAUCACUGAUAGAACUUGGCUGGUAUGUAAUAAGACUGAGGAGAGUACUACGAGACAUUUACCACUUUCAAGCCAGAAACCCUUGGAUAGAGAUGGACAAGCUGCUGAAGGUGUUGUCAAGAAAAGUGGCGCCGCUGUCGUCAGAAAUUUGUUUGAUCUGAAUGAUGAUGUACCACAUGAAGAUAACUCAGAGUCAUCAGUAGUGUCACAUGAAUGUGAUGUGGCGGCCUUACAGAACAACCAUGCUAAGCGCACAUUUUUGUUUGACUUAGAAGAAGUGCCAGCUUGUGAAGAUGGUGCUGCCUGGACUUCUCAACAGGAAUGCACACCUUCUGGCAAGCUUGGUGCAUCCAAGGAAGCUGAUAUGUGUUUUCCAUCCGCUACAGAUGCAGCGCAGAUUAUUCUUGCGUUGUCAACGGAUGUGCCGACCACCACAGGCACACCCGAUGAUAUGUUGCAGUGGUUUGCAGAGCUCGCGAUAUCAAGCAUGGAUGACCAUGCCGAGCAAGCAAAAGUCCAGGGUUGCAUCGAUAAUUCCAGUGAUGAUGGUUCAGACUCAUUUGAAGCCUUGACACUGAAGCUGGAAGAGUGCAAGACCGAUGAGCGCUGGACCAGGACACCAGAACCACCACUGACAGACGAUGACCAAGCUGUUUCAGCGGUGAACCUGCUGUCCAAGCCAAAAAGAGGACCGCAAAGGAAGCGACGGCAGAAGCGGGACUUCCAGAAGGACAUCUUGCCCGGGCUUUCAUCGCUUUCCCGGCCUAAGAUCAUAGAGGACAUUCAGCUAAUUGAGGGGUUAGUACAGGCAUCUGGUGGAUCAUGGGAGUCGAGUUUAACCAGGCGAGCGCGCGGUGGGCGAACAAGAGGUAGAAAGCCCCGCAAAGACCAGCCAGCUACCGUAGAGAUAGAAGCCAAGGCGAGCCCACCACCCUCAAAACCCGACUCUGUUGGCUUAGAAGCUGAUGAAAGGGGCAUGGUUAGCUGGGGGCGAACAACAAGGCGGUGUCGCAAGCCACGAUGCCCAUCGGGCAAUAGCGUCGCAGCUUCGUCCUGAACAACCUCUGAUCCUGGUCGGUUUCGGAUUUGCCAUCGAGAUUGCGGUGGACUGGUAUAAAGGUAAAAAAAAAAAAUCACAGCCAUGAGUGUGCAUACUCUGCUGGCCUGCUUGGCUGGCCUCCCCCCUCAGAGAUUCCAUGCCUUUUUCGGGUCGAAACAUGAUGUACAUUUUUUUUCUAUAAUAAAUUCUUAAACUAGUCUAUAUGUGACAAUUUCUGUAACAGCGUUGUAUUAAGCUGGGUCCAGGGCCUGAGAGGCCUGCUGUAAUUCUUGAGAUAGUGGCGAGGUACCUUGACUGGCCGGUACUUGGAAAUCAAAGAGGCUAAUCGGUGUAGUUCUAUAUAGUUUUAUCAUGUUUUGUUUUGUGUUUCUGUAUGUAAGUUUUUGUGUUUCUGUAUGUAAGUUGCUGCUUCAUUUGGCUGCAAUUUUUGCUUCGCGGCCUGUAGCUCAGCGCUGCCUAGUUGGAGUGGAGACUGGACACCACCGUUAAGGACUUAUCCAGACAGAACUGGUAGUUCAUGGCUUGUUUGGAAUAGCUUUAUUUUCAUCAGUUUCGGUAGAACUGAACUACUAGCACCCUUUGAGAAAGGAGAGUGUAAAUGUAAACGAGCUACUGGCAAAUAUAUAUAUCC
RNAcentral lists this ribosomal RNA (4840 nucleotides) under Triticum aestivum (bread wheat). Its description in RNAcentral is "partial small subunit ribosomal RNA". Lineage: Eukaryota; Viridiplantae; Streptophyta; Magnoliopsida; Poales; Poaceae. The record is from RNAcentral.